This 372-nucleotide ribosomal RNA is filed under the name uncultured bacterium. RNAcentral's name for it is "bacterial SSU rRNA". It matches the Rfam family "Bacterial small subunit ribosomal RNA", at positions 28 to 395 of the family's 1533-position model. The record is from RNAcentral.
GAUGAACGCUAGCGGCAGGCUUAAUACAUGCAAGUCGAGGGGCAACAGGGGUAGCAAUACCUGCUGGCGACCGGCAAACGGGUGCGGAACACGUACAGAACCUUCCUUUAAGCGGGGGAUAGCCCAUAGAAAUGUGGAUUAAUACCCCAUAGUAAUAUUAGUUGGCAUCAAUUGAUAUUUAAAGAUUUAUCACUUAAAGAUGGCUGUGCGGCUGAUUAGGUAGUUGGUGCGGGUAACGGCCCACCAAGCCAGCGAUCAGUAACUGGUGUGAGAGCACGGACCAGUCACACGGGCACUGAGACACGGGCCCGACUCCUACGGGAGGCAGCAGUAAGGAAUAUUGGUCAAUGGACGCAAGUCUGAACCAGCCAU